AAAGCACACACUUAACAUUACACAUUACACAAUACACUAACACACUUACACAACUAAACCAGACACUUAGACAACUAAACCAGACACUUACACAAUAAACUUACACUCUUAUCACUUACACAAUAAACUUACACUCUUAUCACUUAGUAAAAUGUUGAAACCCUAGAUUCACUAGAGGACAAGAGACUUGAGGCGAUUUGGGCGAAUGCUCAAACUUGAGGAUCGAGUAAUGAGGGUGCUGCAAAGUCUAAGCCUUUGUGUCUAUGCUCCGAGUGAUCAAUUGGACUCCAAACCCUUUACUAGACUAACAAU
This 312-nucleotide small RNA is filed under the name Arabidopsis thaliana (thale cress). RNAcentral's name for it is "ATSL266640". The record is from RNAcentral. Lineage: Eukaryota; Viridiplantae; Streptophyta; Magnoliopsida; Brassicales; Brassicaceae.